UAAUAAGCUCCUGUGGGGAUGUAAAUGUGU
RNAcentral lists this non-coding RNA (30 nucleotides) under Macaca fascicularis (crab-eating macaque). Lineage: Eukaryota; Metazoa; Chordata; Mammalia; Primates; Cercopithecidae. The record is from RNAcentral. RNAcentral also lists the same sequence under 1 other name.